This 270-nucleotide long non-coding RNA is filed under the name Solanum tuberosum (potato). RNAcentral's name for it is "long non-coding RNA (STUB_LNC001500)". The record is from RNAcentral. Lineage: Eukaryota; Viridiplantae; Streptophyta; Magnoliopsida; Solanales; Solanaceae.
AUUCUAAACUCUAAACCUUAUACAUUAGGGCCUAAAAUUUAAAUCCUAAACUCUAGUCUUAGGGCCUAAACCCAAAACCCUAAGCCUUUGGGCCUAAACGCUAAACCCUAAACCUUAGGACAUAAACCCUUAAAUCAUUAACAAUAAACUUUAAGCUUUAGUGCCAAAACCCUAAACCUUAGGGUCUAAACCCUAAACCAUAAACCAUAAAUUAUGAAAUCUAAGCCUUAGUGCAUAAACUAUAAAACUUAGGGCCUAAACUGUAAACCC